This 497-nucleotide ribosomal RNA is filed under the name uncultured bacterium. RNAcentral describes it as "partial 16S ribosomal RNA". It matches the Rfam family "Bacterial small subunit ribosomal RNA", at positions 28 to 507 of the family's 1533-position model. The record is from RNAcentral.
GAUGAACGCUGGCGGCGUGCCUAAUACAUGCAAGUCGAGCGAACAGACGAGGAGCUUGCUCCUCUGACGUUAGCGGCGGACGGGUGAGUAACACGUGGAUAACCUACCUAUAAGACUGGGAUAACUUCGGGAAACCGGAGCUAAUACCGGAUAAUAUAUUGAACCGCAUGGUUCAAUAGUGAAAGACGGUUUUGCUGUCACUUAUAGAUGGAUCCGCGCCGCAUUAGCUAGUUGGUAAGGUAACGGCUUACCAAGGCAACGAUGCGUAGCCGACCUGAGAGGGUGAUCCGCCAAACCGGAACCGAGACAACGUCCAAACUCCUAAGGGAGGCAGCAGUAGGGAAUCUUCCGCAAUGGGCGAAAGCCUGACGGAGCAACGCCGCGUGAGUGAUGAAGGUCUUCGGAUCGUAAAACUCUGUUAUUAGGGAAGAACAAAUGUGUAAGUAACUAUGCACGUCUUGACGGUACCUAAUCAGAAAGCCACGGCUAACUACGUG